Alligator mississippiensis (American alligator) is the source of this 4087-nucleotide RNA transcript. It is a transcript of the gene named shieldin complex subunit 2, with no coding region annotated. NCBI's taxonomy places the organism in Eukaryota, Metazoa, Chordata, Crocodylia, Alligatoridae. The transcript has 12 exons. The record is from RefSeq and is a predicted model, not a curated record.
CCCCUCCCCCCCGUGCGUUGAGAGGGGGCGGGGCGAGGCUGUUCGCUUGCUGCCCCCCCCUGCGGAAGUGUCGGGGAGCAUGCGGGUUCGGCGCGGCCUCCGAACCGGCUGGCUCGGGGCCGCGUGAGGCGGAGCGGGUGCUGGAGGCACCGCGCUAGACAGCAGCACCCGCGUAAUAUGUGGAGAGCAUUAAAAGACUUAACUCGGAUGGUUUUAAAGGUGAACUGAUUCCUCUGAAUGUGUACCUAAUGAAGAAUUGUCCAUGUAACAGAUGGUGAAACAGGCAGAAUAUAUCCCAGAGAUCUGCAUCGAUAAAACAAAUGUGCGUGUGUACUGAAGAUAUUUAUACAUUUCAUCUUUAAAUUAUUGCAUGGAUUUAGAAGAUGCUCAGCCCCUGAACACAAAUGCAGAAAAGGUGGGCUGUGGACAAGAUAGACAAAGAAAAAUAUAAGGCCAGAUUGCUCUCCUGAUGUUAUCGAGACUUGCCAAGAAUUCACCUGCUCUAUUGGUGUAUAAUAGUUCUGUGGAUGCUAUCUCAAAAUCACAAUGAAUUUACCUCCUUUUCCUGGUAGCUGAGGAAACAGUGGACCAAAUUUUUAACUUCCUUUCUGUGAUUGUUAUGCUUGCCACCAUAACAAGAUUCCAGCAACUCCCAAAACAUUGAGACAGAUAUAACCAGAUGUGUCUGCAUAUUGAACGCCUACAUUAGAGAGUUACAUUUGGACAGCAUAAUUAAAUAUGUCUGGAAGACCACAAAUCCAUGUUUUCUUUGGAGCACCCAUCAUUCCAACUCAACUGGAGGUGUAUGAGAAAAAGUGUUCUUCAACAGCUGAUGAACCAUGGAAAGAACUGCAUCUUUCCUAUUGUGGGCAUGCCUUAAGCUUUUCUUCUGAGAAAGUAAAAGAAACUGGCCAUGUAGAACUUCAAGCAACAAACUCUGUGGACCUGACUCUUCACAUCAAAAAUCAAUUUUCUUUGACCUCUGGACAGAGGAGAUUUGAGGUUGCAGAAGAUUGUGUUCCAGUAAUAGGAAGCAUGGAAAUUCUUGACAGUGCACCUACCAGAACUGGUGAUCUAACUUACUCUGAUUAUCAGAAAUCUAAAGAUAGAGAAAUAUACAAAAAUCAAGUUGCAUAUCAACAGCUUCCUCAGAUAUUUACAAAAACAGAAAAGCACCAUAGAAAACUAUCAAAGGACUGUUUUUCAAACCACACUGAAAGUGAUACCAGACAUAUGGAAGACAACUGCUGUGAUAUUUCUGAUUUGAUUUCCAGCACCAAACAGAUUAGCAUACAUCUAAAAUCUGUGGGACAAGAAGAUGUUACAUCAGAACUGAAUAGUGUUAAUCAUGAACAUCUGAGUCAGUAUCUGGAGAUGUGUUUUCCCAUGAAAUUAGGAGAGUCAAAAACAAAAAUAGUUAAGAAUGAUUGUUUAAACCUUGCAGUAUCAACAGACACUGAAUUUCUUAGUAUAAUGACCUCAAGUCAAGUUGCCAUUUUUGCACAAAAAACAUUUAAAAAAGAAGCUACACAACUAAGUGGAAUAGAAACAGGAACAACGUGUGUUGAAAGAAAAGCAGCUUUAAGUCAAACCUUUAAAUUGAACAAUAAUACUGGAAAAUGCAUUAGUGUGACUGAAACGGAAUAUAGACAAGAGUCUUCCAAGUCUCGGGGACUGUUCAGUUCUGAAGGUGCCAGAAAAACUAGCUGCUUUGAGUCUACAAAAAAACCAGAUUCCUGUGAAAAUACGAAAAGGUCCCCACAGCUCUUUAGUGUUCCUGAACAACUUCUGAAUGAGAUCCAUAUUGAACCACUGAGCACAGGACUACUGUGCUCCCAAGUAAAUUAUUCUCAUAAAUUCUCUUCUAAAAGAGCCCGAACAUUUGAAGAUACUCCAAGUAUUUGUAAUUCGGUACCUAAACCCGAAAACUCAAAGAAAGCUAAAUUGUCUUGUUCUUCAACUAGUCCUGGAAUAAUAGCAGAUCGAGAGAAAGUAUCAGAAUUUGGGAAACUCCAGAAGAAUCCAUUAUUACUUAAAAACUGCUGUUGCAAAAGUCAGAAAUAUGUUAUUUUGGUUGCAGUAAUACAUCCUUGUCAUGUAAAAGAAAUUCUAAUCAAGUCAAGAUCAAAAUUUUCCUCUAAAGUUCCCAUAGCAACUAUUGUUGUUAUCGACCAGUCAGAAGUAGAAAGAAAGGUUGUGCUGUGGCGAGCUGCUGCAUUUUGGUCACUCACAGUGUUCCCUGGUGAUAUUGUACUACUCACAGAUGUCACUGUGCAUGAGAACCUUUGGUUUGGGGAGAUGAUGCUACAGUCAACCUUUGCCAGUCGGUUAUUAAAUCUGGGGAGCUGCUCAGCUAUUAAUCCCAAAGAAUUUUCUCAUGUAGUAGACGUUGGUGUUCUCCAGGAUUUACUGGCAUAUGUAUCUUCAAAAUUUACCUACCUCAGAGAUCUUCCACACAUGCAUCCCCAGAAAUGGAAUAAUAUACAGCAUGUUCAACUAGACCAACUUCAGCAAGAUACAUUGGUUCAUUCAGUAUUAAAAAUCAUCAGCAUCUCCAUACUAACAGAAGCUGUGUACAGUUACAAGGGAGAAAAGCAAAGAAAAGUUAUUCUAACAGUGGAACAGAUCAGAGAUCAACCUUAUAUAAUGGUACUGUGGGGUGCAGGGGCAGCUUGGUACCCUCAACUACAGAAGAAAAAAGAGGCAGAAAAGGAUCUUGGAGUCAUCAUUGAUGCCAAAAUGAACAUGGGCCGACAGUGUGGGGACAUGGUCAGGAAGGCCAAUCGCACCUUGUCAUGCAUCCACAGGUGCAUCUCAAGCAGGUCCAAGGAAGGUGAUCCUCCCCCUCUAUGCGACACUGGUCAGGCUGCAGUUGGAGUACUGUGUCCAGUUCUGGGCGCCACGCUUCAGGAAGGAUGUGGACAACAUGGAGAGGGUCCAGAGGAGGGCCACUCGCAAAAGACUAUAAAAUACAAAGUGGUUUAUUCUCUGCUAUAAUGCUGAAUAAGUGUCUUAAUAUGCUUUAAAGCAGCACUUCUCAAAGUGGUGGUCCGCGGACCACUGCCGGUCCGUGAGCCACCGGUUGCUGGUCCGCAGCGAGUUGCCAGGAAAGAAAGAAAUAUAUUUUCAGAAGCAUAACAUUGAUAUGUCAUAGUGCCACAGUUUGUACAUUCCAACGCUCCAGGUGAUGUCAUGUUGUGCGAGGUGAAGAAAGAGAAAGAAACAGCCGGUCGCACAUUUGUGUAGCGCUGUUACAUGCAGUUGCUGCCACUGGCUGAACCAGGCACCGGUCCCUGGCCCAGUGAAAAAAAAAUUGCUGGUCCACCACAUCAGAUAGUUUGAGAAGCACUGCUUUAAAGGACAUGAAAAAUUAGUAUUGUGGAGCAAUAGGUGUUGCAAAAAUUACUUUUGUAUGUGCCUCGACAAAAUUGAAAGAAGUGCUAAAAUAACCUUAACUGCUAAAGAAAAGUGAUUUUCUCAUUAGAGAAAAGCCAAUGUGAAAUAGUUCAGCAAUAGUCAAACAUUUUAUAAAUGAGUUUGAAAAUGUGAAAAAUAGCAGUAUAAUAAGGAGACUUAAACCCUGCAACAGAUUUUAAAACCCAAUCAAAAAGUUGAGGAAAACUGGGAAUGCUGGCAGUGCAGUUUUUCCCUCAGAACAGUAAAUGUGGAAACUCUGCAAAUUCCCAAAUAAGGUCAUAAAAGCAAAUAGAUUGAAAGAUACAACAGCUGAGCAGACAAGUGGCCAAGCACAUAGGGAAUGUUAAAAUAUGCUUCGGUGGUCUGAUCUAAAGCCAUUGAAGCCUAUGAAAAGUCUAUGAUUAACGUUUUUUGCAUCUGUGGCGGAGCACAGGGUGCUCCUGCCACUUUAAGGGCCUGGAGCUGGCAGCCUCCAGGUGCCUGAUUACGGCAGCCAUUUUGAGGCUUAUAUAAACCAGGCAGUUGGGCUGCAGGAGGUCAGGUAGCAACAUUGCCUGGCUGUAGGGCUGCUGUGUAUGACCUGGAGAUCACCUCUGGGAAUUUAAAAACCUCUUUGUCCAAUGUAGUUCUAUCUCGGGUACCUUUGAGUUGCACACAACUCCUUGGUCAU